GACGAACGCUGGCGGCGUGCUUAACACAUGCAAGUCGAACGGAAAGGCCCUGCUUUUGUGGGGUGCUCGAGUGGCGAACGGGUGAGUAACACGUGAGUAACCUGCCCUUGACUUUGGGAUAACUUCAGGAAACUGGGGCUAAUACCGGAUAGGAGCUCCUGCUGCAUGGUGGGGGUUGGAAAGUUUCGGCGGUUGGGGGUGGACUCGCGGCUUAUCAGCUUGUUGGUGGGGUAGUGGCUUACCAAGGCUUUGACGGGUAGCCGGCCUGAGAGGGUGACCGGCGACAUUGGGACUGAGAUACGGCCCAGACUCCUACGGGAGGCAGCAGUGGGGAAUAUUGCACAAUGGGCGGAAGCCUGAUGCAGCAACGCCGCGUGCGGGAUGACUGCCUUCGGGUUGUAGACCGCUUUCGCCUGUGACGAAGCGUGAGUGACGGUAAUGUGUAAAGAAGCACCGGCUAACUACGUG
Molecule: ribosomal RNA, 468 nt
Filed under: uncultured bacterium
Lineage: Bacteria
Description: partial 16S ribosomal RNA
Rfam family: Bacterial small subunit ribosomal RNA
Source: RNAcentral